UGAGGGUGAACUGGUUUGCAAUAUCUCAGGUUUGCAAUAUCUAACGGCCUGUAUUAUAAUUAUAGUAAUUUAUAGAAUAGUUUUACUAAAAGACUGGUAGUCGGUCUAGACUGGUAGUCAGAUUAGUUUUGAAGUCUUUAUCGGUAGGGUUGCAAUGUCCCACGGCGUGAAGCUGUAGUUAGUAUUUUAAGCCGUUGUAAAUUAGUAGUUAUUUGGAAUUGUGACGUUCCCGGUGGGAAAAGUAGUGGCUCGAAGAUUGUUAAAGUUUCAAAUUUAUUAGAACUUAUAGUUAAAAGAAUACUUACAAUUAUUUUAACAGCAUUGAUUUUUGAUUAUUGUGUUGACGAACUAGCCGAGGUGUUACAAGAGUGCCAUGAGAAUCAACUCCCCCUUCAACUCCCCAAAGACCUGUCAACCAGCAGUCUACAAAAAGGGGAGCUCGCCUGCUGCUCGCCGCCUUCCGCCUUCCGCCUUUCGCCUUCUGCAUUCACCUGUUCCUAUCAUGGCCCGGGGUCUUGUUCUGCUGUGUCCGUUCUCUCUCCACAUGUUACUCAUUUCUAUUAUAGAUUCCUCGCACUACUAGUACUACCUGUUCCCGAUAGAUCCUUCCAGAAUUAGGCUAUGGAGUUCCUUUCCUGAGGCAAUAUGACGGUGAUACCCACCCCACUUGCUCUGCCUGUCCUCACCUAAGCUCCACCAGUCGUAUUGCUUUAUUGAUUCCCCCCUCCUUCCUCGAGAACCGUUCGUCACUAUGUUAGAUCCUCGGGAUGACCAUGCAAGAUGGUUCAGUUCUAGUUGACAUUCCACUAUAUGAAAAGACCAGAUCGCCACUUUAUAUUCUUAUUCCUUGAGAGAGAGAGAGAGAGAACCGGAACAGCGACCUCGUGAAUCAUCCUAUUUAAUCGCUUGACCCUCACCACAUUUGCU
Long non-coding RNA from Bolinopsis microptera, 927 nucleotides. RefSeq lists it as uncharacterized. The transcript is spliced from 5 exons. NCBI's taxonomy places the organism in Eukaryota, Metazoa, Ctenophora, Tentaculata, Lobata, Bolinopsidae. The record is from RefSeq and is a predicted model, not a curated record.